UCCAGUCAUUCACCCCAAAACUCCUCUCCUUUGCUUUUAUCUCCUUCUGGUUAUGAGAAAAAUAAGCUGGCGUGAGUGCCAAAUGCCCAGUACGAACCAAUGGCCGCUCUCUCUCUCACACACACACACAAAGACACAAAAUACUCAUGGGGGUACUCCAGCCAUUACGAAAUUAUUUUGGGGAUAUAAUGGGUGAGGUAAUUGUUAUCUAAUUUUUAACAUUGGGUACCAAACAAAAAAUUGCUUAAACGCGGUAAUUAAUCUUACGAGUCAAACACA
This 279-nucleotide long non-coding RNA is filed under the name Salvia miltiorrhiza (redroot sage). Its description in RNAcentral is "long non-coding RNA (SMIL_LNC003633)". The record is from RNAcentral. Lineage: Eukaryota; Viridiplantae; Streptophyta; Magnoliopsida; Lamiales; Lamiaceae.